UACGAAGGGGGCUAGCGUUGCUCGGAAUCACUGGGCGUAAAGCGCACGUAGGCGGAUUGCUAAGUCAGGGGUGAAAUCCUGGAGCUCAACUCCAGAACUGCCUUUGAUACUGGCGACCUUGAGUCCGGGAGAGGUGAGUGGAACUGCGAGUGUAGAGGUGAAAUUCGUAGAUAUUCGCAAGAACACCAGUGGCGAAGGCGACUUACUGGACGACCGUUGACGCUGAGGUACGAAAGCGUGGGGAGCAAACAGGG
RNAcentral lists this ribosomal RNA (254 nucleotides) under uncultured bacterium. RNAcentral describes it as "partial 16S ribosomal RNA". It matches the Rfam family "Bacterial small subunit ribosomal RNA", at positions 524 to 777 of the family's 1533-position model. The record is from RNAcentral.